RNAcentral lists this ribosomal RNA (257 nucleotides) under uncultured bacterium. RNAcentral describes it as "partial 16S ribosomal RNA". It matches the Rfam family "Bacterial small subunit ribosomal RNA", at positions 96 to 354 of the family's 1533-position model. The record is from RNAcentral.
CGGCGACGGGUGAGUAACGCGUGGAUAACCUGCCUCAUACAGGGGGAUAACAGUUAGAAAUGACUGCUAAUACCGCAUAAGCGCACAGGACCGCAUGGUCCGGUGUGAAAAACUCCGGUGGUAUGGGAUGGAUCCGCGUCUGAUUAGCUAGUUGGCGGGGGAGAGGCCCACCAAGGCGACGAUCAGUAGCCGACCUGAGAGGGUGGCCGGCCACAUUGGGACUGAGACACGGCCCAAACUCCUACGGGAGGCAGCAG